Molecule: ribosomal RNA, 657 nt
Filed under: uncultured Sordariales
Lineage: Eukaryota; Fungi; Ascomycota; Sordariomycetes; Sordariales
Description: eukaryotic LSU rRNA
Rfam family: Eukaryotic large subunit ribosomal RNA
Source: RNAcentral
CCGUAAAACAGCGUAAUUGCUAGAAGGUUGACCUCGGAUCAGGUAGGAAUACCCGCUGAACUUAAGCAUAUCAAUAAGCGGAGGAAGAGAAACCAACAGGGAUUGCCUCAGUAACGGCGAGUGAAGCGGCAACAGCUCAAAUUUGAAAUCUGGCCUCGGGCCCGAGUUGUAAUUUGUAGAGGAUGCUUUGGGCGCCGGUGCCUUCCGAGUUCCCUGGAAUGGGACGCCAUAGAGGGUGAGAGCCCCGUACGGUGGGAUGCCUAGCCUAUAUAAAGCUCCUUCGACGAGUCGAGUAGUUUGGGAAUGCUGCUCAAAAUGGGAGGUAAAUUUCUUCUAAAGCUAAAUACCGGCCAGAGACCGAUAGCGCACAAGUAGAGUGAUCGAAAGAUGAAAAGCACUUUGAAAAGAGGGUCAAAAGUACGUGAAAUUGUUGAAAGGGAAGCGCUUACGACCAGACUUGCGCCUUGUGAAUCAGCCGGCGUUUUCGCCGGUGCACUUCGCUAGGUUCAGGCCAGCAUCGGUUUUCUCAGGGCGUUAAAAGCAGCGGGAACGUAGCUCCUCCGGGGGUGUUAUAGCCCGCUGUAGAAUAUUCUUGGGGAGACCGAGGACCGCGCUUCGGCAAGGAUGCUGGCGUAAUGGUCAUCAGCGACCCGUCUG